RNAcentral lists this ribosomal RNA (253 nucleotides) under uncultured bacterium. Its description in RNAcentral is "partial 16S ribosomal RNA". It matches the Rfam family "Bacterial small subunit ribosomal RNA", at positions 524 to 776 of the family's 1533-position model. The record is from RNAcentral.
UACGUAGGUGGCAAGCGUUGUCCGGAAUUAUUGGGCGUAAAGCGCGCGCAGGCGGUCCUUUAAGUCUGAUGUGAAAUCUCGCGGCUCAACCGCGAGCGGCCAUUGGAAACUGGGGGACUUGAGUGCAGAAGAGGAAAGCGGAAUUCCACGUGUAGCGGUGAAAUGCGUAGAGAUGUGGAGGAACACCAGUGGCGAAGGCAGCUUUCUGGUCUGUAACUGACGCUGAGGCGCGAAAGCGUGGGGAGCAAACGGG